RNAcentral lists this transfer RNA (72 nucleotides) under Elopichthys bambusa (yellowcheek carp). Its description in RNAcentral is "tRNA-Asp". It matches the Rfam family "tRNA". Rfam says of the family: Transfer RNA (tRNA) molecules are approximately 80 nucleotides in length. Their secondary structure includes four short double-helical elements and three loops (D, anti-codon, and T loops). Further hydrogen bonds mediate the characteristic L-shaped molecular structure. tRNAs have two regions of fundamental functional importance: the anti-codon, which is responsible for specific mRNA codon recognition, and the 3' end, to which the tRNAs corresponding amino acid is attached (by aminoacyl-tRNA synthetases). tRNAs cope with the degeneracy of the genetic code in two manners: having more than one tRNA (with a specific anti-codon) for a particular amino acid; and 'wobble' base-pairing, i.e. permitting non-standard base-pairing at the 3rd anti-codon position. The record is from RNAcentral. Lineage: Eukaryota; Metazoa; Chordata; Actinopteri; Cypriniformes; Xenocyprididae.
AAGAUAUUAGUAAAAUUCCAAUUACAUUACCUUGUCAAGGUAAAAUUACAGGUUAAAGCCCUGCAUAUCUUU